RNAcentral lists this long non-coding RNA (736 nucleotides) under Capsella rubella. Its description in RNAcentral is "long non-coding RNA (CRUB_LNC001871)". Lineage: Eukaryota; Viridiplantae; Streptophyta; Magnoliopsida; Brassicales; Brassicaceae. The record is from RNAcentral.
CUUAAAUCAGAAAGCCAAUAAAUGAAGCAGGCCCAGCCUUUUGUUCUCUUCUUCGUUCUGAAGUUGAUAAACGGCUUCUACUGAUACCUACGUUUUGUUUCUUUUGUCAUUGGAUCCUCUUUGUAUAUGUAUAUGGCCUAAACGUCUUCCAUUGUUUCUUUGCGUUUACAUGUUAUGAUGAUAGAGCGUUGUUUCGUUUCUCUCUUUCUUUUGGCGAACUGUUAAAAGAAUAUAAAGAUUUGUAUGAAGGUGAAAACGAAACCAUACUUAAAAUCAUAAAUGAUCUAAUUAUCAAAGUAUCGUUCGUGGUGUAAUAUAUAUUUAUUGUAUCUAUGGGAAAUCCACGUUCAAUAUUAAUUAAUACAAUAUAUUACAAACGAAUAUAUAAGAGUAAUCAAUAGUUUUGAGGAUACAUGUCUACGUAGGGACAAACAUCCACAAAGAUGCACUUACGUGGCAGGACAAGUGCGAAGAUGAGUCAAGGGACUUCAACUCAAAGAGAGCCCUCUCCUAAUCUGCAAUUCACCCACACUGUCUGGUCGGUAGUUGAAACGUUAGUUGUCGCCGACUUGAGGCGCGAGCUGCACCCAUCCUUAAUUUAUUUUUCCCUAAUUAUAUUUGUUUAAUUAAUCAUUAACCCACAUGACAUUAACUUUGUUAAGGUACACUAUGACAAAUUUAUCAUAUACUGUAUGUGAGAGUAUGUGAAUGUCUUGGCUUCGCGUUUGGUGAUGGG